RNAcentral lists this RNase P RNA (295 nucleotides) under Pseudomonas putida F1. RNAcentral describes it as "RNA component of RNaseP". It matches the Rfam family "Bacterial RNase P class A", at positions 43 to 351 of the family's 367-position model. Rfam says of the family: Ribonuclease P (RNase P) is a ubiquitous endoribonuclease, found in archaea, bacteria and eukarya as well as chloroplasts and mitochondria. Lineage: Bacteria; Pseudomonadati; Pseudomonadota; Gammaproteobacteria; Pseudomonadales; Pseudomonadaceae. The record is from RNAcentral.
GAGGAAAGUCCGGGCUCCAUAGGGCAGAGUGCCAGGUAACGCCUGGGAGGCGUGAGCCUACGGAAAGUGCCACAGAAAAUAACCGCCUAAGCACUUCGGUGCCGGUAAGGGUGAAAAGGUGCGGUAAGAGCGCACCGCACGGCUGGCAACAGUUCGUGGCUAGGUAAACCCCACUCGGAGCAAGACCAAAUAGGGUUCCAUCAGGCGUGGCCCGCGUCGGAACCGGGUAGGUUGCUAGAGGCGUCCAGUGAUGGCCGUCGUAGAGGAAUGACUGUCCUCGACAAAACCCGGCUUA